This 589-nucleotide small RNA is filed under the name Pan troglodytes (chimpanzee). RNAcentral describes it as "retained intron". Lineage: Eukaryota; Metazoa; Chordata; Mammalia; Primates; Hominidae. The record is from RNAcentral.
AAGAGGCAUCCGUUCCCAGCUUAUACAACAUCCAGUACCAGUUCCACAGCCAACAAUGGAUAGAUUUGGUCUUCCUUGAAGCAUUUAGAGACCUGUAGAAUGAACUUAACUUCUGAAAACUGGGUGCGGGGCCAAUAGAGGGGCUGCUCGAUACCUCACCAGCCUGCUAUGCGGAAGGCUAGAUGGAGGGGCUGCUAAAGGAAGAGAACUGCUGUUCCAACUCCGCCUCCUCCCUGCAGUGUGGCUUCUUAGAAAAGGAGAUACCGCUGGCCCUCCAUAUUCACAAGCUCUGCAUCUGUGGGUUCAGCCAACUAUGGAUCGAAAUAUGCAACUUCAUAUUAUCUUCAUUCAGGAGGGAGAACCCUGAGUUCUUCUGGGUUGGAUCUAAGCAUGUAAGACUAUUGAGUUACAUUUGACUUCUGAAGUCAGUUUUUGUCUUUACUUUUUAGUCAGCUUGUGAAAGCAAAAAGCAUCUUAUUUUUAAAAUACCUGUGUUAGUACCCUGGAAUAACACUGGCAUUUCCUAGCCCAAACUGAGACUAAAAGUUUUGAAUUAAUCUUUCCCUCAACUUACAAGAAAACAGUUAUC